GAUGAACGCUAGCGGGAGGCUUAACACAUGCAAGUCGAGGGGCAGCAUAGGGUAGCAAUACUCUGAUGGCGACCGGCAAACGGGUGAGUAACGCGUAUGUAACCUACCCUGUACAGGGGGAUAACCCGGAGAAAUUCGGACUAAUAUCCCAUAACAAUAUCCGGGGGCAUCUUUGGAUAUUUAAAGUUCCGGCGGUACGGGAUGGGCAUGCGUAACAUUAGCUAGUUGGUAAGGUAACGGCUUACCAAGGCUUUGAUGUUUAGGGGUCCUGAGAGGGUGGUCCCCCACACUGGUACUGAGACACGGACCAGACUCCUACGGGAGGCAGCAGUGAGGAAUAUUGGUCAAUGGGCGCAAGCCUGAACCAGCCAUCCCGCGUGCAGGAAGACGGCGCUAUGCGUUGUAAACUGCUUUUCCAGGGAGAGAAACUUGCGCACGUGUUGCGCAAUUGACGGUACCCUGGGAAUAAGCAUCGGCUAACUCCGUG
Molecule: ribosomal RNA, 487 nt
Filed under: uncultured bacterium
Lineage: Bacteria
Also listed under: 1 other name
Description: bacterial SSU rRNA
Rfam family: Bacterial small subunit ribosomal RNA
Source: RNAcentral